ACCUAGCUGGCUCAGUUGGAGGGGCAUGUGACUCUUGAUCUCAGGGUCAUGGGUUCAAGUCCCAUGUUGGGUA
Molecule: transfer RNA, 73 nt
Filed under: Felis catus (domestic cat)
Lineage: Eukaryota; Metazoa; Chordata; Mammalia; Carnivora; Felidae
Rfam family: tRNA
About the family: Transfer RNA (tRNA) molecules are approximately 80 nucleotides in length. Their secondary structure includes four short double-helical elements and three loops (D, anti-codon, and T loops).
Source: Rfam by way of RNAcentral